GUGGUGGUUUAAAUUGAAGCAUACCAAACCACAGGUGUGACAAGAGGUUAAGAAGGAGAGUCCUUUGAAACAAUCUAAUGCCACAUGGGAACUAGCCUCACUCACCAAGCAUUGAGUCAGCUGAGCUAACCGACCGCCAACAUGAUAUGAAUGAACAGGGGAAGGCGCGCUUUUUAAAAGGGUCUGGGUACUCUCGAAUUCACACAAGCAGCUUCAAGAAAGAGCCACGAGAUCAAAACAUCACUACAAAUGCAGAAUAACAGAUCACCUUAAGCAAGCGUAAUUGAGGGAGAGCAAAAAAAAAAGCAGUCAAUAGUAGAAUCUUCCGAGCGGCUGGAGAAGAAAUUAACAGAAGACAGCGUCGGAUCAGCGUUCAUGCCUCUGGCGAUCUGAAAUUGCCAUCAACCUGAAAUUGCCACCUGCGACUUCCCGCCUUCGCCCUCGUUGUUAACACUUACGACAGAUUCGGCUUCCUCAGCAGACUAUAGCUCCACUUUCAAGGGGCUCUCCCUGCCACCCCCCAACCCCCUCGCCGCCCACACCAUCCCCAUUCCCAAAACCAUCUCCCUGCAUCGGUAAUCUCAGAUCUUCGAAAAUUCUACAUUCUGAGUUCGAUAUAUUUUAACUAACCUGUUCAGAAAUAUGCACUUCUGGAGCAGGUGGGACUUAUGCCCUGGUGUCCUAGCUCAGAGACAGGGACACCACAUCUACGUCAUGCCCUAAUGUUUAAUUAGCCGCCGCCAGGAGGAUUUCUCGGCUGACGUUCCCAAUUGUCAAAGCAAUAGCUGACACGCGACUGCGCCGAAAACUACACAAGCUUUAUCCGAUGGCCCAAAAUUCCAUUUUAAAAAUGAACUAAAACACAGAAAAGCUAUUUUGCUGGAAUUGUUUGAGGUCAACGGGCAGAAUUUCGCUAUUCUCUUUUGUAUGGCCUCAGACAGGUGACAAACAAAUAUAGCUCGGUUGGCGCUCAUCUGAAAGGUUACGUGGCUGAUAAAGUCAUGAUUUGGAGAUGGCGUUGUUGGACUGGGAUGCUCAAAGUUAAAAAUCACUACGCUAGGUUAUAGUCCAACAGGUUUAUUUGGAAGCACUAGCUUUCGGAGCGCUCUCCUUAUCAGGUGAUUAGGAAGUAUAAGAUCGUAAGAUAUAGAAUUUAUAGCAAAAGCUUACAG
This is a non-coding RNA of Chiloscyllium plagiosum (whitespotted bambooshark), 1172 nucleotides long. The record is from RefSeq and is a predicted model, not a curated record. Lineage: Eukaryota; Metazoa; Chordata; Chondrichthyes; Orectolobiformes; Hemiscylliidae.